RNAcentral lists this ribosomal RNA (383 nucleotides) under uncultured bacterium. RNAcentral's name for it is "partial 16S ribosomal RNA". It matches the Rfam family "Bacterial small subunit ribosomal RNA", at positions 523 to 908 of the family's 1533-position model. The record is from RNAcentral.
AUACGGAGGAUGCGAGCGUUAUCCGGAUUUAUUGGGUUUAAAGGGUGCGUAGGCUGUGCGUUAAGUCAGGGGUGAAAUGCCGUCGCUCAACGACGGAGCUGCCCUUGAUACUGGCGUGCUGGAGUACGGAUGCCGUUGGAGGAAUGAGUGGUGUAGCGGUGAAAUGCUUAGAUAUCACUCAGAACACCGAUUGCGAAGGCAUCUGACGAAUCCGUCACUGACGCUGAGGCACGAAAGCGUGGGGAUAGAACAGGAUUAGAUACCCUGGUAUUCCACGCCGUAAACGAUGAUGACUAACCGUCGGCGAUAGACAGCCGGUGGCCAAGCGAAAGCGAUAAGUCAUCCACCUGGGGAGUGCGUCGGCAACGAUGAAACUCAAAUGA